RNAcentral lists this small RNA (78 nucleotides) under Flavobacterium sp. KMS. RNAcentral's name for it is "Flavo-1 RNA". It matches the Rfam family "Flavo-1 RNA". Lineage: Bacteria; Pseudomonadati; Bacteroidota; Flavobacteriia; Flavobacteriales; Flavobacteriaceae. The record is from Rfam by way of RNAcentral.
UCCUAGCCCCGAUGGAAACGGCAUCCUUUUUAUGGCUCCUUUAGCCAUGAAAAGAUAUAGUGUACAGCGGGACUCAAG